Molecule: ribosomal RNA, 253 nt
Filed under: uncultured bacterium
Lineage: Bacteria
Description: partial 16S ribosomal RNA
Rfam family: Bacterial small subunit ribosomal RNA
Source: RNAcentral
GACGUAGGCACCAAGCGUUGUCCGGAUUUAUUGGGCGUAAAGGGCGCGUAGGCGGCCCGCCAAGUCGAACGUGAAAUCCCCGGGCUCAACCCGGGAACUGCGUCCGAUACUGGUGGGCUUGAAUCCGGGAGAGGGAUGCGGAAUUCCAGGUGUAGCGGUGAAAUGCGUAGAUAUCUGGAGGAACACCGGUGGCGAAGGCGGCAUCCUGGACCGGUAUUGACGCUGAGGCGCGAAAGCCAGGGGAGCAAACGGG